AUUAAGAAAACAGAAAACGUGUUCCACUUUCAUUUUCAAUAAUUGUAAACAAAGUUUUGAGCCGCUUAUAUCAACUGCCGCUUAUGUCUUUAACACAUUGCGCACAAGUGCUGCAAAAUCAGCCGAUAAUUGGAUUACUGCGCAUAAACCGCAUAUAGUUUUGUGGUUCCCGGAUUUCCAUUAUGUAAAAUAAAUGUUUUGCAUUGUGUUUCGAACACAGUGAGUAAUGGCGGAACUGUUGUCAUGGAAGUACGUCGCGAGGAUGUGGGGGCGAAACUGGGGAAGGGAGAGCCCAUGGAAGUUGCUGGCAGGGUUGCGAAUGCGAAUCUGAGGAUCCGAAAGAGGCUGGCUCAGAUGACAAGGAAGCUGACGUGGAUGAGGAUGAAAUUAAUAAGAGAGUUGUAUUGUUUUCUAAAGAUUGAAUAAAUGAAUGCUUCUUU
Molecule: long non-coding RNA, 440 nt
Organism: Dreissena polymorpha
Lineage: Eukaryota; Metazoa; Mollusca; Bivalvia; Myida; Dreissenidae
Exons: 2
Source: RefSeq, a predicted model, not a curated record